GGUUACUGCUAUUGGUGUUCGACUAAGCCAUGCAAGUCAUAUGUUCCUCGUGAACAUGGCAUACUGCUCAGUAACACGUGGAUAACCUGCCCUUGGGUCUGGGAUAACCCCGGGAAACUGGGGAUAAUACCGGAUAACGCAUAUGUGCUGGAAUGCUUUAUGCGUAAAACGGAUUCGUCCGCCCAAGGAUGGGUCUGCGGCCUAUCAGGUAGUAGUGGGUGUAAUGUACCUACUAGCCAACAACGGGUACGGGUUGUGAGAGCAAGAGCCCGGAGAUGGAUUCUGAGACAUGAAUCCAGGCCCUACGGGGCGCAGCAGGCGCGAAAACUUUACAAUGCGGGAAACCGUGAUAAGGGAACACCGAGUGCCAGCAUCAUAUGCUGGCUGUCCAGAUGUGUAAACUACAUCUGUUAGCAAGGGCCGGGCAAGACCGGUGCCAGCCGCCGCGGUAACACCGGCGGCCCGAGUGGUGACCGUUAUUAUUGGGUCUAAAGGGUCCGUAGCCGGUUUGGUCAGUCCUCCGGGAAAUCUGAUAGCUUAACUGUUAGGCUUUCGGGGGAUACUGCCAGGCUUGGAACCGGGAGAGGUAAGAGGUACUACAGGGGUAGGAGUGAAAUCUUGUAAUCCCUGUGAGACCACCUGUGGCGAAGGCGUCUUACCAGAACGGGUUCGACGGUGAGGGACGAAAGCUGGGGGCACGAACCGGAUUAGAUACCCGGGUAGUCCCAGCCGUAAACUAUGCUCGCUAGGUGUCAGGCAUGGCGCGACCGUGUCUGGUGCCGCAGGGAAGCCGUGAAGCGAGCCACCUGGGAAGUACGGCCGCAAGGCUGAAACUUAAAGGAAUUGGCGGGGGAGCACAACAACGGGUGGAGCCUGCGGUUU
RNAcentral lists this ribosomal RNA (882 nucleotides) under uncultured Methanosarcinales archaeon. Its description in RNAcentral is "bacterial SSU rRNA". It matches the Rfam family "Archaeal small subunit ribosomal RNA", at positions 21 to 903 of the family's 1478-position model. The record is from RNAcentral. Lineage: Archaea; Methanobacteriati; Methanobacteriota; Methanomicrobia; Methanosarcinales.